RNA transcript from Protopterus annectens (West African lungfish), 3082 nucleotides. It is a transcript of the gene named cyclin D binding myb like transcription factor 1, with no coding region annotated. Lineage: Eukaryota; Metazoa; Chordata; Ceratodontiformes; Protopteridae. The transcript is spliced from 18 exons. The record is from RefSeq and is a predicted model, not a curated record.
CAAAACCAGUUCCACCAGCAUUCCAGCUCCUAAAGUGGAAAGGAAGUGAUGUUGUUUUUCGAAGAGCCCAUUUCCGGUAUCGCUCAAUGAGCACAGAAGCGGUGGAAGCGGGGCUCAAUGUAAAAAGAGACUCGUUAGUUUCUUUUCCUCCAUCCUGGUAUUUGAGCAUCUUCAUCCUGGUCUCUAAGUGCCCGGACUCAAAACAGGAAGGCUGAGUAUGAACACAGAUAGAGACGAUUCUGACACAGUGACCGUGGGGACAGUAGAUACCGUUACAUUGACCCAAGAUACAGAAGGGAACUUUAUACUUCAUUGUCCACAAAAUGAUGUUCCUGAGCUGAAUUCCAGUGACAGUGGAGAACCUCCACGAAAGAGAUUGUGUUUGUCAUCGGAGGAUGAACAAAGUCUUGAUGAAUCAGCGCCAUGCAUUUCUGUUGUUGCAGUCCCAAUUCCAGAUAAUAAUCAGAGUUUUGAGGUGACAAUGGCUGCUGCCAGUGAAGUGGCAGAUGAAGAAAUUGGUGAAGGAACUGUUACUCAGAUACAGAUUCUUCAAAAUGAAGAACAGAUUGAGGGACUUUCUCCUUCACGCAGUGAAGCAAUAGCCCCUGUUAGCCAGGCAUGGUUUACUACAAAGGAAGACAAGGAUUCCUUAACUAACAAAGGUCAUAAGUGGAAACAAGGAAUGUGGUCUAAAGAAGAAAUCGAUAUCCUCAUGAGCAAUAUUGAUAACUAUUUAAAGGAGCAUGGAAUAAAAGAUGCUGCUGAAAUUAUCUUUGAAAUGUCAAAGGAUGAGAGGAAGGACUUUUAUAGGACAAUAGCCUGUGGAUUGAACCGACCGUUGUUUGCAGUUUACAGAAGGGUUUUGCGGAUGUAUGACAACAGAAACCACGUUGGAAAGUACACUCCUGCAGAAAUUGAAAGACUAAAAGAAUUACGAAUGAAGUAUGGCAAUGACUGGGCAACAAUUGGAGCUUCAUUGGGAAGAAGUGCUUCAUCUGUGAAAGACCGAUGCAGAUUGAUGAAAGACACUUGUAACACAGGGAAGUGGACAGAAGAGGAGGAAAAGAGGCUGGCAAAAGUGGUUCAUGAAUUGACAUGCACAGAACCUGGGGACAUUGUGACUCAAGGCGUUUCUUGGGCUUCUGUGGCAGAAUUAGUUGGGAGUCGUUCAGAAAAACAGUGUCGCUCCAAAUGGCUUAAUUAUCUAAACUGGAAACAAAGUGGGGGCACUGAAUGGACCAAAGACGAUGAAAUAAACCUGAUCAUGAGGAUAUCUGAGCUUGGAGUGUCAGAUGAAAACGAUAUAAACUGGGACCUCAUGGCUGAAGGGUGGAGUAGCGUUCGUUCCCCACAGUGGCUUCGAAGUAAAUGGUGGACCAUCAAACGGCAAAUCACCAACCAUAAAGAAGUAUCAUUCCAUGUACUAAUAAAAGGUCUGAAGCAGCUAUUGGAGAUCCAGAAACAGUCGGGCACUUCAGGUCACAAGCUGUAUGAAAACAAACCUGGGUCUGGGAUGCACAGCAUUAACUCAUCAUCAGGAGUACAGCACGUGCAGAUUCAUGUCACUCACUUAGGUGACACUACCUCUGUCCCUCAAAGCCCCAUGGCAGCUCUUCAGAUUCCAGUACAAAUCACACAUGUUGCAUCGUCAGAAUCACCAGCAGUCACAGGUGACACUGAGACAAUAACACUAAACACUGGGGCACUACAAACAUUUGAAAUUCUUCCAUCUUUCCACCUACAACCUACUGGGACACCAGGAACAUAUUUAUUGCAGACUGGUUCAAGCCAAGGCCUUCCUUUAACUCUGACAAGUCCUACAGUCACCUUAACAUCUGCUGCAUCACCAUCUUCUCCUGAACAGAUAAUAGUACAUGCCUUAUCUCCUGAGCACUUGCUGAACACAAACGACAGUGUUACUGUGCAGAUGUCACAUCCCAGUGUCAUCAUUCAUACAGUUGCUGCUGAUGAUAUCACCUCCUCCAUAACACAGGCAGAGCUAACAGUGGAUGGCAGUUUGGGCCACAGUGACCUUUCAGAUCACGAGCACACUCUUGAUGCAGAUUCCUUCACAAACCAAAUCCAGGAAGCCAAGUUGAAUGAAGAUGCACUUUCCCCAUGUAGCACAAAUGGUGCACAUUCAGCACAGCUGAGCAAUAAGGACAGCACAGAACUGAUUCAUAGUAUUGACGUUAGUAUAGAUGGAGAUAUCAGUGCACAAAACCUCAAACAGAAUGAUGAAGUACAUUCUGAUCUGACCAGUGCUUAUGUAAGAGAGGGUCUUGAAUCACCCACUAUGGUGGAACAAGUUGAUCAGUCUGCAAUUGAUGAAAGUGUAAUUAUUGUUCCGUCAUCACAUGAAUUUAUUCGGUCAUCGGAUGACAUUGAUAGUGACUCAGUUUUACCACUAACAACAUUAACAGAUCCUAUCCUGCAGCAUCAAGGAGAAGGCUCAAAUAUUAUUGGCUCAUCACUCAACAGUCCAAUUUCAGAAGAUUCAAAAGACAAUGAGGAUUUAGAAGGGUGCCACUAGGAGUAACACAGAUGUCCUACUCCAUGAGUACAGAGACUUUAUACUUGCAAUUAUAACCUGAGAAACUUUGUAAAAGCAUACCAUUUACAGACUUGCCGCAAAACUUACUUUCUGGCACCGAACACUGGCACCACAUGCUGCUAAUUAAUAUGGCACAAUCGGAUUUCACUUUUGCUGGAGAGCUGAAACAAUCUUACUGUGUUGAUAUAAUUUAUUUAAAGCAGAUGUUUCUUUUUUCUAGCUCCAUGUGGAUUUUUUUGUUUCACUGCAAUUCACAGAAGAUUUGAAUCUGAAAAGAAAAAAGAAGAAAAGAAAACAAUGUCAACCAAUAUAACUCAGUGCAGUAGCUGUAUCUUAUUUCAUAAAAUGAGAGAUAACAUAAAUGGCCUUGGCUCAGAAUCUGUUCUUCGGUUGCAUUUUAAAUUACCAACAGCUCUAAAAGGAUGUUGUAAUAGUUUUACCGUCACUCAAGUUAAUUCAUUUGCACACUUCUAUAUCACAGCACCAGAUAUUUUCCUGGCUUUAUGUACCAGCAAAAAAGUAAAUAUU